GGAGAGAUGGCUCAGUGGUUAAGAGCACUGACUGCUCUUCCAGAGGUCCUGAGUUCAAUUCCCAGUAACCACA
RNAcentral lists this transfer RNA (73 nucleotides) under Mus musculus (house mouse). RNAcentral's name for it is "tRNA-Ser". The record is from RNAcentral. Lineage: Eukaryota; Metazoa; Chordata; Mammalia; Rodentia; Muridae.